This 791-nucleotide ribosomal RNA is filed under the name uncultured bacterium. RNAcentral describes it as "bacterial SSU rRNA". It matches the Rfam family "Bacterial small subunit ribosomal RNA", at positions 51 to 855 of the family's 1533-position model. The record is from RNAcentral.
ACACAUGCAAGUCGAACGAGAGAGAAGGAGCUUGCUUCUUCGAUCGAGUGGCGAACGGGUGAGUAACGCGUGAGGAACCUGCCUCAAAGAGGGGGACAACAGUUGGAAACGACUGCUAAUACCGCAUAAGCCCACGGGUCGGCAUCGACCUGAGGGAAAAGGAGUGAUCCGCUUUGAGAUGGCCUCGCGUUCGAUUAGCUAGUUGGUGAGGUAAUGGCCCACCAAGGCGACGAUCGGUAGCCGGACUGAGAGGUUGAACGGCCACAUUGGGACUGAGACACGGCCCAGACUCCUACGGGAGGCAGCAGUGGGGAAUAUUGCACAAUGGGGGAAACCCUGAUGCAGCGACGCCGCGUGGAGGAAGAAGGUCUUCGGAUUGUAAACUCCUGUUGUUGAGGAAGAUAAUGACGGUACUCAACAAGGAAGUGACGGCUAACUACGUGCCAGCAGCCGCGGUAAAACGUAGGUCACAAGCGUUGUCCGGAAUUACUGGGUGUAAAGGGAGCGCAGGCGGGAAGACAAGUUGGAAGUGAAAUCUAUGGGCUCAACCCAUAAACCGCUUUCAAAACUGUUUUUCUUGAGUAGUGCAGAGGUAGGCGGAAUUCCCGGUGUAGCGGUGGAAUGCGUAGAUAUCGGGAGGAACACCAGUGGCGAAGGCGGCCUACUGGGCACCAACUGACGCUGAGGCUCGAAAGUGUGGGUAGCAAACAGGAUUAGAUACCCUGGUAGUCCACACCGUAAACGAUGAUUACUAGGUGUUGGAGGAUUGACCCCUUCAGUGCCGCAGUUAA